This 253-nucleotide ribosomal RNA is filed under the name uncultured bacterium. RNAcentral's name for it is "partial 16S ribosomal RNA". It matches the Rfam family "Bacterial small subunit ribosomal RNA", at positions 524 to 776 of the family's 1533-position model. The record is from RNAcentral.
UACAGAGGUCCCGAGCGUUGUUCGGAUUCACUGGGCGUAAAGGGUGCGUAGGUGGUGAGGUAAGUCGGAUGUGAAAUCUCCAAGCUCAACUUGGAAACUGCAUUGGAAACUACCUUGCUAGAGGAUUUGAGGGGGGAUUGGAAUACUUGGUGUAGCAGUGAAAUGCGCAGAUAUCAGGAGGAACACCGGUGGCGAAGGCGGCACUCUGGGCCGGAACUGACGCUGAGGAGCGAAAGCGUGGGGAGCGAACAGG